CCUACGGGUGGCAGCAGUGAGGAAUAUUGGUCAAUGGACGAGAGUCUGAACCAGCCAAGUAGCGUGAAGGAUGACUGCCCUAUGGGUUGUAAACUUCUUUUAUAUGGGAAUAAAAUGUUCCACGUGUGGGAUUUUGUAUGUACCAUAUGCAUAAGGAUCGGCUAACUCCGUGCCAGCAGCCGCGGUAAUACGGAGGGACCGAGCGUUAUCCGGAUUUAUUGGGUUUAAAGGGAGCGUAGGUGGAUUGUUAAGUCAGUUGUGAAAGUGUGCGGCUCAACCGUAAGAUUGCAGUUGAAACUGGCAGUCUUGAGUACAGUAGAGGUGGGCGGAAUUCGUGGUGUAGCGGUGAAAUGCUUAGAUAUCACGAAGAACUCCGAUUGCGAAGGCAGUUCACUGGACUGCAACUGACACUGAGGCUCGAAAGUGUGGGUAUCAAACAGGAUUAGAUACCCUGGUAGUC
This 460-nucleotide ribosomal RNA is filed under the name uncultured bacterium. RNAcentral describes it as "partial 16S ribosomal RNA". It matches the Rfam family "Bacterial small subunit ribosomal RNA", at positions 338 to 795 of the family's 1533-position model. The record is from RNAcentral.